AGAGUUUGAUCAUGGCUCAGGAUGAACGUUGGUGACGUGCUUGAGAUAUGCAAGUCGAGCGACCCUAACGCAAGUUAGGGAGCGGCGGACGGCUGAGUAAUGCGUAGGUAUCUACCCCUAGGUGGAGAAUAGCUCCGAGAAAUCGGAGAUAAUACUCCAUAGUUCCCGCCUCUGGCGGGAUAAAGGUCGUAACUGAUCGCCAAGGGAGGAGCCUUCGUCCUAUCAGGUAGUUGGUAGGGUAACGGCCUACCAAGCCUAUGACGGGUAGCUGGUCUAGGAGGAUGACCAGCCAGAGGGGCACUGAGAUACGGGCCCCACUCCUACGGGAGGCAGCAAUCAGGAAUAGUCGGCAAUGGACGAAAGUCUGACCGCGCGACGUCGCGUGUAGGAAGAAGCUCUUCGGAGUGUAAACUACUGUGAUAAGGGAAGAAGAUCCGCCUUUGGCGGGUUUGACGGUACCUUAUUAGAAAGGGGCCGCUAAUUGCGUGCCAGAAGCGUCGGUAAUACGUGAGCCCCAAACGUUAUCCGGUUUUAUUGGGUGUAAAAGGUCGUGUAGGUGGUUUUACAAGUUGUCUCUUAAAUGCUCCAGCUCAACUGGAGAAUAGGAGAUAAGACUGUAAGACUAGAGUUUUCUCAAGGGAGAUUGGAACUUAGGGAGGAGUAGUGAAAUGCGUUGAUACCCUAGGGAACACCAGUGGCGAAGGCGAAUCUCUGGGAGAUAACUGACACUGAGACACGAAAGUUAGGGGAGCGAAGCAGAUUAGAGACCUGCGUAGUCCUAACUGUAAACGUAUGUCUGCUAGCUGCAUUUUUUCUCCGCCUUUGGCGGAGGAGGGGUGUGGCGAAGAUAACUCGUAAGCAGACCACCUGGGGAGUACGGCCGCAAGACUAAAACUCAAAGGAAUUGGCGGGGAGGCACACAACCAGUGGAACAUGUGGUUCAAUUCGAAACGAAACGAAGAACCUCACCAGGGUUUGACAUCUCAGCGUCCUAUUUUCCGGAAACGGAGAAAAUUCGCAAGAAGGCUGAGACAGGUACUGCAUGGCUGUCGUCAGUUCGUUCCGUGAGGAGUGCCCUUAAGUGGGACAACGAACGCAACCCCCAUCCUGUGUUAUAUUUGUCACAGGAAACAGGUCUGAUGAUUCAUCGGACAGGAAGGAGGGGCAGACGUCAAGUCAGCAUGGUCCUUAUACCCUGGGCCACACACAUGUUACAAUGAGAAUUAACAAUGGGUUUCGCUACUUAGUAAUGAGAAGCAAAUCCCGGAAAUAUUCUCUCAGUGGGGAUUGAGGUCUGCAACUCGACCUCAUGAACACGGAAUUGGUAGUAAUCGCGGGUCAGUCAUACCGCGGUGAAUACGUUCUUGCCUCUUGCACACACCGCCCGUCAAGCCAACAAAGUCGAGAUUAUUUGAACCCCGCCUUGGGCGGGGGAGGAUAACUUCGGCGAUGGGGGUUAAGUCGUAACAAGGUAGCCG
This 1478-nucleotide ribosomal RNA is filed under the name uncultured Microgenomates group bacterium. Its description in RNAcentral is "SSU rRNA". It matches the Rfam family "Bacterial small subunit ribosomal RNA". The record is from RNAcentral.